CCAUUGGUGGUUCAGUGGUAGAAUGCUCGCCUGCCACACGGGCGGUUUCGAUUCCCGGCCGAUGCA
Cordylochernes scorpioides is the source of this 66-nucleotide non-coding RNA. NCBI's taxonomy places the organism in Eukaryota, Metazoa, Arthropoda, Arachnida, Pseudoscorpiones, Chernetidae. The record is from the annotation of a GenBank genome assembly.